Molecule: long non-coding RNA, 3399 nt
Organism: Numida meleagris (helmeted guineafowl)
Lineage: Eukaryota; Metazoa; Chordata; Aves; Galliformes; Numididae
Exons: 3
Source: RefSeq, a predicted model, not a curated record
AUUCUUUUAUGGAUUUUUUUUUUUUUAAAGAAGAAAAAAUAGACGAAAGAAAAACAAAGCCACCGCCCUGAAGCAGAUCAUUCGUCAUAAACAGUGGGAGCAUGAAAGGUGAUUUGCUUUGACCUAGUUACAACAACAAAAACAAAGAGACUUUCUCUAAUUGCCUGAAUAACUCAAGUGGGACUGAGUGUCAAAAGCAACAAAUCUGUGCUUCCUUCGGAGCUACAUGUUAACGUGGGACACCAGGCUCCAGCCUGCUCCAGUUCAAGACCUUGGGAGAUGUCUCUGAGCCCAAGGAAGCCUGGGUAAGCAAAAGCCAGCCAAUUCUGUGUGCCUGCAUGCACAAACAGGAUCAGGUGCCAGGACAAACAUGUUUCAUAAAUUAUAACAAAGACAGUGGCUUUAAAUGCUGAGACUAUCAGGACUUCAACAUCUAUGUUGCCAAGAGCUGCAGGCAAGUGAAACUGUUUUGCUUUACCAUCAUAGUACUGCUGCAGCCCUUGCAGAGCUGUCACUGACUUACUGAGGCUCAACAUUUUAUUUUAAACAAGCUUGAAGUUAGCUAGGUGCCUAAAAUGCUCUAAGAGCAAGGUGCUCAGCUUUCUAAGCACCAGAGAAAAGCCCAAAGUCAUUGCAUUGCUAUUGCAGAAUGUGGGCUAGAGAGGGUGAGAGCAAAUACAGAUAGGGCAGGUGAACAGAGCUGGAAAGCAGGAGAAGAGGGAAUGGAGAGACUUCAGGGGUUUAUGUCCAUAUGUUAGAAAAAGCCAUUUCUUUAUCAGCUAUGGGAAGCAGCCUGGGAAAAUCAGCGUGCCAGGUCUCUGGGGCUGCCUAGUUUCAGUCAGGUAGAAGUCAUCCCUUUGGCAUCUCAUUCUGCAGCCUUUCCAUGUGUUUUAGUUGUCUUAUAUACGUGCAAAAGUAGCUCUGUGAGGAGCUGCUGGGAUGGCCUUUCAGUAGAAGAAAAUGAAUUUACUUAGCCUGUAAUUCUCACCCAUGGAGUGCUGGCAGCAUCUUUAGCGCUGCAGAGAAAAGGCUGUGGGGGGUGGCAGAGAGAGCACUUUUCUGAAGCCCACAUGGAGUCUCAUUUUUUUCAGUUUUAGAGGGCAGGUUCACAAGAGUUUGUAUGUUUUCCCCAGCUGGUUCACCAUCUAUUUUAGAUGGAACUGUUUGAUCUCUUUCUGCUUGUGGUCCUUUCAGUUUCACAAACAAUAGGAGGAAGCUUGCCUGUUACGUGUGUUUGGGCCCCAGCUAAGCUUUUCCCAGCUGGAAAAGUCAGUCCAUGAACUACAGAGGGUUUUCUCCAGCUGUAAUUACAAGACUCCCAGUUCCCUUACGCAUCUGGUAAGGAUUAAUGUGUGCUGUGGCAGAGUUCUGAAGGCUUCAGCAGCUCUGCGCUGUGGGAAGGCAGUCCCUGGCUGAGCCAGAGGCGUCCCAGAAGAGUCAACACUGUUAAUGCCACAAAGGCCGAGCAGUUACCUGUUCCUGAAAGCUAGCUAGCCAUUGCCUAUAGUGGGAGUGGGAGAACAACAGAACAAAUGCAGCUACCUCAUAUCGUAAGGUGUAUUCGGCAAGAAAAGUGCAAGGAGACAGGAGGCCCUUUGCAGGGAUGGAACUUGCCCUCCAGGGAUGACAGGUAUGCAGUAAUUCAGGUUUUAUUGCCUAUAAUAAGCUUGGAUAAACAGUUGUUCAAUAGCUCUAUGGACUAAAGCCAUUAAGACCCCAAUGCUUCUGCUAAAGUCAAAAGAACUCAUGAAUUAUAUCAGAAAGGUCACUGGGGCUAUUAACUUGUUCAUCGUGGGCAGUCAUUGCUGUCCCCAGACAAAACCUUGGAGAGCUGCUUCGGCUCAAAAAAUGUAAUGGCAGAAAGGUAUAACCAUGCCAAAGAGUAUGUCUGAAAUCCUUCAUGAGGGUGGUGAGGGCUCCUGAUUUUGUUGCUUUCCUUGGGGCCAGAGAUCAUAGACUCAUUAAGGUUGGGAAAAGCCACUAAGAUCAUCUAGUCCAAUCACCAACCCACCCCCACCAUGCCCACUAACCAAGUCCCUCAGUGCCUCAUCUCCAUGUUUCUUGAGCAUCUCCAGGGAUGGUUGGGCAGCCUGUGCCAAUGCAUUUCCACUCUUUCUGAGAAGAAAUCUUUCCUAAUCUCCACCCUGAACCUCCUCUGAAAUGAUGAUGAAGAGGAGUUGUGCAGAAUUCUGCAGUUGCAUUAGACUGAACUUGCUGAUAUGAGGUCCUGCCACCUCUUCUAACAGCUGCUCACAAAAGAGAGUCAUAUCCAGCCUAUACCUGUUACUGAGCGGCACCUCUAAAAAUGUUGUACCCUUACUGUUCCUCUAGCUGAACCUCUUUUAGUUCCUCUGUGUGAUAAGCCUGUUCCCCCCCACCAGGGCCUCCACCUAUAGGCUUGCACUACAUUGCUUGGAGAAAACAAGUUUGUGGCCAAAUAACGCACAGCGGGAUUGGGGGGGGGAGGAAGCAGUUUCCACCAUUCUGUAAAAAUGCAAGUUUUCAACCAUUCUCCUCAUCUUGUGGUGAUGCUGGUGUGCUCCAGCUGCAGCACUGACCAGCCUUCUGUUAAAGCCAGCCCUCCGCAUCAAGGUGAUGCCCACUGGCUUCGGAGCUCAUUGUGCAGGUGGGAGGUUGGGACCCCGGGCAGCAGAAUCACUCCAGUGCUGUGUCUCACACGCCUUUACCAUCCACCAUUGUGUGCAGCAGAAUACUCUUAGACCCUGGCAAAGUGUUUGUAGCCACCUCUUUGCCAAGAAAAAUCGAACCUGUUUGGUGAUGUUAGUGUAGGCGAGAGCCACAGGCUACGCUUCCAGCCCUCUGAGAUGCUAAAGGGAUACUGCUGCCUGGGCUCCCAGUCUCAGAGCCUGCUGAACUGCUGAAGGGAUAGCACGUUCCCAACCGUGCGUGCCUGAAACUAGCAGACUGAGAGCACACCAGCUUAUGGAGUUACAGCCUCUCUGCUGUGGGACCAAAGCUGCCUUCCCUGCCCACGUCACCUCGCCUGUACUGAGUAGAAGGGGAGCGAGUAAAACCUCUCAGAGCCGCGAUAAUCCGCGUUGGAUGGGGAUGCGCCAGUCCCGAAAGCGGGGGGAUCCCCAUCGCCGGCACAGCGGCAGGCACGCAAACCUGCUCUGCCUCACGUCCGCGCAAAGCCAAACAAUACCCGCGGAGAUAAAAGCGCACACAGCCUCUACAGAUGCUAAUCCCCUCUUUCACCGCGAGCAGUUUGCACCCGUGGCCCCCCAGCCCGCUCGGGUCAGGGCUCUCCCGUCUCUCUUGCUGCUUUAUCCCGAGCCCUUCCGCGCUUUCGAGCUGAGCCUCUUUCAGAAGGGCUGCGAAGCGAUUCCCGCAGCGCGCUCCUUCCCGCAGCCCGGGCCGGCGGGGCCGCUCGCUGCC